UUGGAGAGCACAACCAUUCCAUUUCGCCUGGGGGAAACCCCCUCAGAAGGCAGGUGCUCAGUCAGCCCUAACUUGCCCAAUAGCUCGUAAGACGCACGGAACAGGCACAGGAGAUACAGUGAAAGAGUCAUCACCCCGGAGGCUGUUAAGGAUACUAAAUAGUCAACGACUGACAGGUAAAGUACUGUCAUUGAUUAGAAACUGGCUAACAGGCAGAAAGUGAAGUGUAGAAAUACAAACUGAUGCUAAAUUUUCAUCAUGGCAAAAGUUUAACAGUGAGGUGCUCUGAGGUUCCAUACCAGGACCAGUGUUAGUUAAUAUAUUUAUAAAUUAUCUGGGAAAAGAGUAAACACAGUGAAGUAGCAAAAUUUGCAGACUUGCCAGAUGAGAGGGAACAUGAUAGAGGUAUAAUAAAAAGCAUAGAGAAGGUAAAUUCAUCAUAAGCUGCUAUUGAGUAAGGUGACUUCUGUUGGUUUCUUGGCUUAGAUAAGUACCUAGACUGCCAGCCACCUUAAGUCUAGGCACAUUUUACAGGUAGGGAGCUGAGAUAGAGAGAGGCUAAGUAACUUGCCGAAAAAUCAUACAGGAAGUUUAUGAGAGAGCAGGGCCUUGAACCUAGGGCACCUACAUCUUAGGCCUGUGCAUAAACCUCUCAUCCAUCCUUCUUCUCCAGAAUGUAAGUUGUGCACUGCUAUUUAACCUUUAUUAUAAAACAAGUACAAAUAAAUUGAAAUGCAGCACAUUUAGAAUUAUUUUUACAUAACAUAAUUAACUUGUGGAACUCAUUGUCAAAGUAUAUAACUGAGGCCUAGGUCUUAGCAGGAUUAAAAAACUAAUUUGAUAUUUAUAUAGUUAAUGAGAACAUUCAUAGUUACAUUACUGUGUGACCCUAACAACUCUUUAGUGCCACUGGCAAAGGGUUCGCUAUUCUGUAACAGCAACUCCUGUCAGACCUGACAAACUCACUACAUCUAGCACAUUGCUUUCAUAGUAUUUAUCCAUAAAGAAUGUCAUGGAAGGUCUUCAAUAAAAGCCAGGGUCACACUGGUCAUUAAUACUGUUGUAUGUGGGCAAGUAUGUAUGGAUAGCUAGAAAAUAUGUUCCCUAAAAGUCUGAAUCAAAGCAGAGUUGACAAACAGGCUGCUGCCAAAGGAUGUCUAUUCACUUGUGUACCUAGGUUCACAUGUAAAUUAAGCAUUUUAAGCCAACAUAAUAGAAGCACCAUUUAUGUACAAAAUCAACAAAAGGGUGUAAGGUCAACAGGUGACAAGACCCAGGAGAAUGUACCACAGGGGAUUGUCCUGUCUCUGGAGGAGACAAUAAACUCGGGGAAAUGUGGCCCCUCUCCCAUGGGAGAACUAGAGCAUCCCCUAACAAGCGUUUUCUGAAGCCAGCUCUGGAGCAAUAGAGUGGGCAUUUCCUGUUCAGGUAAGUAGCCAACAGGCCUCUUAUUGGGAUUUCCCAGUGAUUCAGUAUGUAGUGGAGUACUGCCAGGUUCAUUUCCCAUUUGUAGUCGUGAGAACUUGUGGCUGAGACUGUAUGGUGUUAUAUUCUGUACUCUCAGCAGGUAAACAGCUGAUAUGAGAACAUUGUGGUGAACGCAACAGUUCUAUAGCUUUAGUACUUCGGUGCACAGGAAGGAUGAUCUGGCAUCCCCUUGAUGAUUUAUGUAAAACAUGCACACUAUGAUUUUUGUGUGCGUGUCCCUGAUCAGUGGAAUAAAGUGAGCACAAGCAUUUCUGACCGUUUGACCGUUCUUAGUUCCAGGAGGUUGAUGUGGAGAGUCGACUCCAUUGGGGACCAUUUGCCCUGAACUUUUGGUUAUUCAGAUGGGCUCCCCAGCCUAUUAGGGAUACGUCCAUGUUUUUUUUGGGGGGGGGCAAUUGUGUGAAAGGGACCCCCAUGCAGACGUUCAUAGGGUCUUUCCACCAUUCCAGGGAAUGUUUGACCCUAAAGGACAUCGACAGGGGUUUGCCUAGUCUAUCUUUGGUGUGUAGACAGACCUGAGCCAUGCCUGUAGGCACCUCAUGUGUAGUCUGGCAUGAGAUAUCACAAACGUGCAUGCCACCAUGUGCCAGAGAAGUUGGAGGCAACGUCUGGCUGGUGUUUGUGGGCUGCCCUGAAAUGUCUAUGAGAGUGGUCAGGAUGUGAAAUCUGUGUUGUGAGAGGAGUGUUUACGCUUGUAUUGAGUCAAGAUCAGCUCCUAUGAACUCCAAGUGGUGUAGUGGAGUCAAGGUCGAUUUUGGGGAAUUGAUUAGCAAACUCAAAUGCAUGAAUACAUCUUUGGGUGUCCCAAAGAGCUUCUUCGAAGGAAUGGACUCUGAGGAGACAGUCGUCCAAGUAAGGGUAAAUCAUGAUCCUUAGGCUCUGUAGAUGAGCCAUGACUACAGAGAGGAACUUGGAGAAUACUUUGGGUGCGAAUGAGAGUCCGAAGGGAAGGUACUCUGUACUGGUAAUAGUCCUGACUGAGUCCUGAGGAAUCAUUUGUGGGAUGGCUGGAUUGAUAUAUGGAAGUAGACAUCCUACAGGUCGAGGACCAAAAACCAAUCUCCCUGCACUAGAAAUUGGAUAAUAGCUGAAAGUGUGACCAUCUUCAAUUUUUGUGCCUUCACAAAUUUGUUCAGUGCUCUUAGAUCUAAUAUGGGUCUCCACCCUUCUUUAUUUUUGGGGAUCAGGAACUAUCUGGAAUAGAAGCCUUUGCCUCUGAGCUGCACAGAAGUGGGUUCUAUGGUUCCUAGGAGUAGCAGGUGAUCUAUUUCCUAUGUUAACAGUCUCUCGUAAGAAGGGUCCCUGAAGAGGGACAGGGAGGGAGGGUAGAGAGGAGAGAGAGAGAGGUGAAGUGGAGAAAAUACCCAUUGGAGAUAAUCUCUAAGAUCCAUCUGUCAGAAGUCACGUUCUUCCAAUUUUGGAAGAAAAGAGUGAGGUGGCAUCCAAAGGUCUGUAGGUUACAGCUGAUGUUAUGGGGAGUGGUCUCUGAGGCCUUUGACCAAGGUGUCAAAAUUGGUGUUUCGAGGUCAAGAGCUGGGAUGUUGAGGAUUGAGGGGCUGAUGGUUUACGUUUUUGAAUCUUAGGCCUCUUUCGCUGUGGCUCAUAGUACCGUUGCGGUGGUGGGUACUGGGGUGGUUGGGAUCUAUGGGAUGACUGAGGACUGAAUUUUCUUUUCUGUCCCAGUAUGUAGAUCCGCAGCAAAUGUAGUGUGGCUCUGGAGUCCUUAAAGGUAUGAAGUGAUGCAUUGAUAUUGUCUGCAAACAGUUUGGAGCCCUCGAAAGGGAGGUCCUCGACCGUCAUCUGUACCUCCUUUGGCAGUCCUGAGAGGUGUAACCACGAUGCCCAACGCACCGCUACUGCCAUCGAUACCGAAUCAGCCGCUGUAUCCGUGGUAUCUAGUGCUGUCUGGAGAGCUGUUUUCACUACUAACUGUUCCUCAUGUAUGAUAAUCUGAAACUGUUCCCAUUGUGUUUCUGGCAGGUGGUCAAUAAAUGCAUUAAAUUUGG
Molecule: long non-coding RNA, 3494 nt
Organism: Trachemys scripta elegans
Lineage: Eukaryota; Metazoa; Chordata; Testudines; Emydidae
Exons: 2
Source: RefSeq, a predicted model, not a curated record